RNAcentral lists this ribosomal RNA (429 nucleotides) under Acidobacteriota bacterium. Its description in RNAcentral is "Acidobacteria bacterium partial 16S ribosomal RNA". It matches the Rfam family "Bacterial small subunit ribosomal RNA", at positions 355 to 776 of the family's 1533-position model. The record is from RNAcentral. Lineage: Bacteria; Pseudomonadati; Acidobacteriota.
UGGGGAAUUUUGGACAAUGGGGGAAACCCUGAUCCAGCCAUCCCGCGUGUGCGAUGAAGGCCUUCGGGUUGUAAAGCACUUUUGGCAGGAAAGAAACGUCAUGGGUUAAUACCCCGUGAAACUGACGGUACCUGCAGAAUAAGCACCGGCUAACUACGUGCCAGCAGCCGCGGUAAUACGAAGGGUGCAAGCGUUAAUCGGAAUUACUGGGCGUAAAGCGUGCGCAGGCGGUUCGGAAAGAAAGAUGUGAAAUCCCAGGGCUCAACUUUGGAACUGCAUUUUUAACUACCGGGCUGGAGUGAGGUAGAGGGAGGUGGAAUUCCGCGUGUAGAAGUGAAAUGCGUAGAUAUGCGGAGGAACACCGGUGGCGAAGGCAGCCUCCUGGGAUAACACUGACGCUGAGGCGCGAAAGCGUGGGGAGCAAACAGG